Felis catus (domestic cat) is the source of this 3773-nucleotide long non-coding RNA. RefSeq lists it as uncharacterized. The transcript is spliced from 2 exons. NCBI's taxonomy places the organism in Eukaryota, Metazoa, Chordata, Mammalia, Carnivora, Felidae. The record is from RefSeq and is a predicted model, not a curated record.
CUGACGCGGGGCUCGAACUCACGGACCGCGAGAUCGUGACCUGGCUGAAAUCGGACGCUUAACCGACUGCGCCACCCAGGCGCCCCGCUAUUUUUAUUUUUUUAUUCUGAACUUAGAAUCACGUAAUAGUAGUGCACGAAGGGCAUUCGAGAUUAUCUAUUUCUGUCCCAUUUGAAAGGAAACAUAGAGCCUGAGAAAGUAAAUGAAUUGUUUCAGAUCACUCCUUUGUUACUGAUCAAGACAUGAGAGUUACUUGGUUUCUUGAUUCCCAAGAUGCCUCCUUUGCACAGCUAAAACAAGUUUCUUAUCAAAAGGUUAUGAAAUUGCAACUAAUUUGGACAGUUUAAAAAAAACUUAUUAGAAUACUGAUUCUCUUUUUCAGAAAUUGUUCAACAAUACUUCCAGGAUCAUGUUGGUAGGAAAAUAGAUAAUGCAAUCUUAGUUUUCUAACCACAGGAGUUUAAAGAACACACUCCUAUAUUAGUAUUCUGAAUGUAUGAAUUGGUUGUAUUUUAAGUUUUUUUGUGUGUGCUUAAAUCAUAGGUAAAUUAUCAAUAUAAUCAAUGGGAUGUGUAUGUUUACUUUCACCUACUCAAAAACUACAUGUCAAAGCUGAAUAUGAUCUAGUCACUGAUAUGUUUCCAUGUUGUUUAGAUUGCCUCUUUUGUGGUGCAUUUUAGAAAGGUGAAUCCAGGGCCACCUGGGUGGCUCAUUUGGUUAAGUGGCGGACUUAGGCUCUGGUCAUGAUCUCAUGGCUUGUGAGUUCGAGCCCCAAAUAGGGUUCUGUGCUAACAGCUCAGAGCCUGGAGCCUGCUUCGGAUUCUGUGUCUCCCUCUCUCUCAGCCUCUCCCCCACUCAUGUGUGCGUGCUCGCGCUCUCUCAAAAAUAAGUAAACAUUAAAAAGAAAUAAAUAGAAAGGUGAAUCCAGGAACUGCAAGGCAGGCCAUAUUUUCCUGACUUUAUUCUUGCUUCCUUCUUCCCAGCUCUACCUUUACACUUCUCUACACUUUUCCAAACCAGAAAAUGAACAGAUCCCAGAGCUGGACACCAAUAAGGAAAGAAGCAAUGGCCUACUGGGGACAGAACCAGGCUCCCAGACAAGAUCCUGUUCUCAAGGGUCCUGAUGACAAGCUUACUAUACCUAGUGAUUCUAGGAAGACAGAGCAUGUUCCUGGACAAAAGUCUUACUCCGGGAACCGUGGAGGCAGGAGUGUAGGUGUGGCCCCACAGUUCCCUGUGAUGGUCAUGGCAAGCUUAGGACCUUCUGGGGCUUGGCAGAGUUCCCCUUCUUCCACAGGCAGCUCAACAGUCUGGCCUCAAACUACUCUCUCACUUUUGACAUAUUCUCCGAAGGGAAAGUCUAGAGAAUCAGGAAGUCAGAGACAAAAUCCCAUCCCAGGACAGUCCCUUAGGAUACUAACUGGCUUCUCUGGGGGAAGACCUAGGGCUAUCUGGGCAAUUUGACCACCACCUCCUGCAGAAAUCAUUGCAGGAAUGUCUAGAAAGGGAAGAACCAUUGAGGCCAAUGAUCAAGAUGCUUCUACAAGCUUUUGUAAAAUUCCAACACCCACAGAGUCCCCAGGAGCUACUUCUUGAUAUGAAAGAUCCACAAUCAGACAUGAGACAGCUGUUACAGGUUAUGCUUCUGGAUUUUCCUUCUUGGCAUUUGCUCGUAGAUGGGAGCCUCAAGAGUAUACUUCAGCAAUAUCUUUCAUCCUGGGGCCAGCAGCCCAGCUGGGCUAGGGAGAAUGGCAGGGGCAGGUGCCGUGGCCCUGUCUGCCCCCAUUCUGGUAUCAGCAGCAGCCCCACGGCCAGCGGGCUGGCUGGAGAGAACAGCAGGGGCGGAUGCCACAGCCCUGUGUGCCCAUAGUCCAGUAUCAGCAGCAGCCCCAGGGUCAGCAGCUUGGCCAGAUGCUUCAGGCCCACCUGCCCCCAUUCUGGUAUCAGAGGCUGCUGCUGGGCCAGCAGCCUGGCAGGAGAGAACAACAGAGGCAGAUGUCGCAGCCCUGUCUGCCCAUGGUCCAGUAUCAACAGCAGCAGGGGCAGAUGCUGUGGCCCUGUCUGCCCCCAUUCUGGUAUCAGCAGCCGCCCCAUGGCCAGUGGGCUGGCUGGAGAGAACAGCAGGGGCAGAUGCUGCGGCCCUGUCUGCCCACGGUCCAGAAUCAGCAGCAGCUCAUCUCAGAAGGCCAGCAGUCUUGGGAGGCUGCAACCCCACCACCUCCAUCCCAGGGAGAAGCACAAGGGGAGAGGCGACUGCCAAUUCUUCAGUAGUCCCUGAUCCUGGAGCACGGGACGCAGCUGCCUCAGCAAUAGUCCCUAAAUUAGUGCUCCUUUUGGAGACUGUUCUCCAGAUACAUAAACCUCCAUGCAUGAGCAUCUCCACCCACUGCCACAGCUGUGGCUUUGUAGCCGCACUAGCAAUCUCUGAAAUUGUGAAGGAAUUGUGAAGGAAAUGCAGUGCUUAAAAUUAUAGAUCAGUUUCUACUUGUGCAAGUCAAGAAGGAUAUGCACUGGAAACUAACUUGAAUUUUUCCAGAAAAAUUAAGAACUGUGCCAACAACAGGAAUAACUGCUAGCAUAGAUGGACACACAAUGCUAGGUAUAAAAAAGUCCAACCAUGUGUUUUCAGACAAUAUAGUCCCAAAAGUCGCAAGAGGGGCAUAUACAGCAAAGACUAGACUCUCUAGAUCAUAGGAAAUGAAGCCUUUAGUCACCCUGCUGACAAUAAUUAGAUGAAAAGUAGGUGUAAGGAAGUAAAGGGCAGACUGUGAGUGGACAGCCUAUGAACAGACUUGAUGGACACAGAAAUGGGGAGACUGCUCUUUUAAAAAAUAAACUUUUUAUUGAAGUAUAACAUAGAUAAAAGUGCCCAAAUUGUAAGUAUACAGCACAACUCAUCUUCAUAAAGUGAACACACUUGCAUAACCACCAGUUGGUUCAAGAAAUUCAGUAUUACCGAUACUACAGAUGUCACUCUUGUGCCGUCCCUACCCCUCCAGUAUUAGCUAUUAUUCUCACUUCUAACCUCAUGCAUUUUUUUUUCUGCUUUUGAUGUAUUUUUAAUGCCCAACCAGCUAAAUACCACCAAGAACAACAACUAAGUUCAGGUGUAGGCUUAUUGGCUUGCUACAGUAAGAGGGCAUCUCAGGAACUUGAGUGCAUCUGGUAAGAAGAGGGAGCAGGGAAAGGCUGGGCUUAGGUUGAAUAAUUCUGAGGAGUUAGGGGAAGUUGGGAUCAGCUCUAAAUUGGUAGCUGUCAUAAGGCAGCUUAGCAAUUAGGUAUCUCAGUAAUGUCUGUUCAGCAGAUGGGAACAGCAAGGUAGUUUAGUUCAGGUGUAGGCUUAUUGGCUUGCUGCAAUAAGAGAGGGCAUCUCAGCAACUUGAGUGCAUCUGGUGAGAAGAGGGAGCAGGGAAACACUGGGCUUAGGUUGAGUAACUCUGAGGAGUUAGGAGAAGUUGGGAUCAGCUCUAAAAUGGUAGCUGUCAUAAAGCAGCUGAGCAAUUAGGUAUCUCAGUAAUGUUUGCUCAGCAAAUGGGAACAGCAAGUUAGGACUGGGGCAUCAUUAGUAAAAAGGCAGCAGUAACUUGAAGAAGGGGGUCAUUAGGACAUUUUACAUCUGCAGCAUGACCUUGGGAGAAAUAUUUUCUAUUAACUUUGCAGCUGGCUUUAUGCCUAUUAGCAGAUAAUAGAUAUUAUAAGCAACAGAUGAUUUUUUACUUUCAAUCUUGAACUAAUUCUACUCAUUUGGUAUAAAUAAAAUCACUCAAUAUACA